Non-coding RNA from Otolemur garnettii (small-eared galago), 157 nucleotides. The record is from Rfam. NCBI's taxonomy places the organism in Eukaryota, Metazoa, Chordata, Mammalia, Primates, Galagidae.
AGCUUUGCACAGUGGCAGUAUCAUAGCCAAUGAGGUUUAUCCGAGGUGCAAUUAUUGCUUAUUGCAAAUUGACAUGUAAUACUUGUAUAUAUUUCUGAGGUGAAACACGACGUUUUGAUAUAUGUACACAUUGUGGAAGAAUUAGAUCAAGCUAAUU